CGAUUCGCCCUUCGGGGUGCAGCAGGCGCGAAAACUUUACAAUGCUGGCAACAGCGAUAAGGGGACCUCGAGUGCCAGGAUACAAUCUUGGCUGUCGCGAUGCCUAAAAAGCAUUGCAUAGCAAGGGCCGGGCAAGACCGGUGCCAGCCGCCGCGGUAACACCGGCGGCUCGAGUGGUAACCGCUAUUAUUGGGUCUAAAGGGUCUGUAGCCGGCCGGAUAGGUCUUUUGGGAAAUCCAGCUGCUCAACAGUUGGGCUUUCAGAAGAUACUGUUCGGCUCGAGACCGGGAGAGGUGAGAGGUACUUCAGGGGUAGGGGUGAAAUCUUGUAAUCCUUGAAGGACCACCAGUGGCGAAGGCGUCUCACCAGAACGGAUCUGACGGCAAGGGACGAAAGCUAGGGGCACGAACCGGAUUAGAUACCCGGGUAGUCCUAGCCGUAAACGAUACUCGCUAGGUGUCAGCCACGGUGCGACCGUGGUUGGUGCCGUAGGGAAGCCGUGAAGCGAGCCACCUGGGAAGUACGGCCGCAAGGCUGAAACUUAAAGGAAUUGGCGGGGGAGCAC
RNAcentral lists this ribosomal RNA (565 nucleotides) under uncultured archaeon. RNAcentral describes it as "bacterial SSU rRNA". It matches the Rfam family "Archaeal small subunit ribosomal RNA", at positions 314 to 879 of the family's 1478-position model. The record is from RNAcentral.